UACGUAGGGGGCGAGCGUUGUCCGAAGUUACUGGGCGUAAAGCGCGCGUAGGCGGUUAAUUAAGUCUGUGGUGAAAGGUUCAGCGCUCAACGCGAACAUUGCCCUGGAUACUGGUUGACUUGAGUCUGGGAGGGGGUAGUGGAAUUCCUGGUGUAGCGGUGAAAUGCGUAGAUAUCAGGAGGAACACCGGUGGCGAAGGCGACUACCUGGCCUAAGACUGACGCUGAGGUGCGAAAGCGUGGGGAGCGAACGGGAUUAGAUACCCUAGUAGU
Molecule: ribosomal RNA, 272 nt
Filed under: uncultured bacterium
Lineage: Bacteria
Description: partial 16S ribosomal RNA
Rfam family: Bacterial small subunit ribosomal RNA
Source: RNAcentral